Molecule: ribosomal RNA, 253 nt
Filed under: uncultured bacterium
Lineage: Bacteria
Description: partial 16S ribosomal RNA
Rfam family: Bacterial small subunit ribosomal RNA
Source: RNAcentral
UACGAGAGGUGCGAGCGUUAUUCGGAAUUAUUGGGCGUAAAGGGUGCGCAGACGGUUUGUUAAGUCAAUUGUUUAAUUCCUCGGCCUAACUGAGGAUCAGCAGUAGAAACUGAUAAGCUAGAGUAUGAGAGAGAGGAGCGGAAUUCUCGGAGUAGCGGUAAAAUGCGUAGAUCUCGAGAGGAACACCGAUGGCGAAGGCAGCUCCUUGGCUCAUUACUGACGUUCAUGCACGAAAGCGUGGGGAGCAAACAGG